CCUACGGGAGGCAGCAGUGAGGAAUAUUGGUCAAUGGACGAGAGUCUGAACCAGCCAAGUCGCGUGAAGGAUGACUGCCCUAUGGGUUGUAAACUUCUUUUAUAUGGGAAUAAAUUGUUCCACGUGUGGGAUUUUGUAUGUACCCUAUGAAUAAGGAUCGGCUAACUCCGUGCCAGCAGCCGCGGUAAUACGGAGGAUCCGAGCGUUAUCCGGAUUUAUUGGGUUUAAAGGGAGCGUAGGUGGUUUGUUAAGUCAGUUGUGAAAGUUUGGGGCUCAACCGUAAAAGUGCAGUUGAAACUGGCGGUCUUGAGUACAGUAGAGGUGGGCGGAAUGCGUGGUGUAGCGGUGAAAUGCAUAGAUAUCACGAAGAACUCCGAUUGCGAAGGCAGCUCACUGGACUGCAACUGACACUGAGGCACGAAAGUGUGGGUAUCAAACAGGAUUAGAUACCCUAGUAGUC
This 460-nucleotide ribosomal RNA is filed under the name uncultured bacterium. RNAcentral's name for it is "partial 16S ribosomal RNA". It matches the Rfam family "Bacterial small subunit ribosomal RNA", at positions 338 to 795 of the family's 1533-position model. The record is from RNAcentral.